CAUGAGAACUCCCAUUUGGGGAGAGUUGCUGUAACUGAGAGCUGGUCUUACAGGAUCAAGUCACUGACAAGCACAGUGAACGAACAGAGGAGCCUCGUUGACCCUCACAUAUGUUGUUUUGCCUUGGUUCUGUCCCAUUUGAAAAUUGCAGGUACUUAUUCUUCCUGGAAAAUUGCACCUAUCCUUGGCAUGGCUAAACACAGGAUGGAAUCCUGAUGCAAAUUAUUCCCGCCAGUACAUCUCCGAGUGCUGGGUGCUGAAUGAGGAAUGGGAAAGGCUUCUUUACUGGGUAAAGUGGCUCAGAGCUGCUGUGGGGUGCUGAGUUCUGGGUGAGUCACUUCCCUCUCUGUUUCCCGUAAUGGAGAAAGAGAAGAUGAGCUGUUCGUAAAUUCCCAACAGGACAGUUUUCCCCAACUACUGACACCAUGCUAUUUGUUUUGGAGAGUGAUCCACUUCUCCAGGAUUUCUUUCAUGACUGCUUUGAAGCAUGGCUCCAGUUUUGGCAUUUUGGAUGACUGAAGCUUUUCAGUUUAACUGUUAUAAAUGCCCUGCCUUAGUCACCCAAAAGAUUCAGUUUGGGGUAGCAGAGAGGAGGGGGAGCAAGGACCUCACACAAGAACUGGCCUAAACUCUGAGGAGCUGUAAAGCCAAUGGGAACACGAUGCAGACAAAGUUGAACAUGACUUGACUGUGCUGGGGUUCCUGAAGAUAACAACCUGUGUCCAGUGUGGUGGGACUGAGGCCUUCAUCCAGUUUGGUCCCCUCUAAACCCCCCCAUUUCAGCGUGCAGGGAGCAUGCCCUGCAGUACAGGCUCUCUGUGGUAUUCCCUGAAAUCCCUUCAGCAGUGCAUUUGCUGGAAAAUGCCAAGGCUUGGAAUUUAUCAGCCUGAGUAAGUUUUCUCCUGCAAUGCUGUUUUCUUCCUGAGAUCAUACCCCUGAAUAAAAUUCCUACCUAGCCUUGACUGGGCGUUUUG
RNAcentral lists this long non-coding RNA (974 nucleotides) under Manacus vitellinus (golden-collared manakin). RNAcentral's name for it is "lncRNA (ENSMVIG00005015356.1)". The record is from RNAcentral. Lineage: Eukaryota; Metazoa; Chordata; Aves; Passeriformes; Pipridae.